CCGCAACGAUCAGCCGUGAACCCGGUCAGGCCUGGAAGGGAGCAGCCGCAGCGGUGACAUUGUGUGCCGG
This 70-nucleotide signal recognition particle RNA is filed under the name Pseudomonas putida. Its description in RNAcentral is "signal recognition particle sRNA small type". It matches the Rfam family "Bacterial small signal recognition particle RNA", at positions 12 to 81 of the family's 97-position model. Rfam says of the family: The signal recognition particle (SRP) is a universally conserved ribonucleoprotein involved in the co-translational targeting of proteins to membranes. Lineage: Bacteria; Pseudomonadati; Pseudomonadota; Gammaproteobacteria; Pseudomonadales; Pseudomonadaceae. The record is from RNAcentral.